GUUUGAUCCUGGCUCAGAACGAACGCUGGCGGCGUGCCUAACACAUGCAAGUCCAACGUGAAAGGGGAGCAAUCCCCCGGUAGGGUGGCAAACGGGUGAGUAAUACAUGGGUGAUCUACCUUAGGGAUGGGGAUAUCCUUCCGAAAGGAGGGGCAAUACCGAAUAUUGUCCGGAGCCGUGAAGGGUUCCGGGGAAAGGGAGGCCUCUGAUACAAGCUUUCGCCUUAAGAUGAGCCCAUGGCCCAUCAGCUAGUUGGUAGGGUAAAGGCCUACCAAGGCUACGACGGGUCGCUGGUCUGAGAGGACGACCAGCCACACUGGCACUGAGAUACGGGCCAGACUCCUACGGGAGGCAGCAGUGAGGAAUAUUGCGCAAUGGGGGAAACCCUGACGCAGCAACGCCGCGUGUGGGAAGAAGGCCUUCGGGUCGUAAACCACUUUUGCACGGGACGAAAAAGGGAUAUCGAACAAAUAUCCCCGAUGACGGUACCGUGAGAAUAAGCCACGGCUAACUCUGUGCCAGCAGCCGCGGUAAGACAGAGGUGGCAAGCGUUGUUCGGAAUUACUGGGCGUAAAGAGUCUGUAGGUGGUUUGUCAAGUCUUUGGUGAAAGGCCGUAGCUUAACUAUGGGAAUGCCAAAGAGACUGGCAGGCUGGAGGCUGGGAGAGGGAAGCGGAAUUUCUGGUGUAGCGGUGAAAUGCGUAGAUAUCAGAAGGAAGGCCGGUGGCGAAGGCGGCUUCCUGGAACAGUCCUGACA
Molecule: ribosomal RNA, 756 nt
Filed under: uncultured bacterium
Lineage: Bacteria
Description: bacterial SSU rRNA
Rfam family: Bacterial small subunit ribosomal RNA
Source: RNAcentral